This is a long non-coding RNA of Paramormyrops kingsleyae, 544 nucleotides long. RefSeq lists it as uncharacterized. NCBI's taxonomy places the organism in Eukaryota, Metazoa, Chordata, Actinopteri, Osteoglossiformes, Mormyridae. The record is from RefSeq and is a predicted model, not a curated record.
UAGAAGGUCAUAGGGGGGACUUGUGAGAGGAGCAGAGGAAGAUGGAAUGAUGAAAAAGGACUGGGGGCAAUUGGCAGUGUUUUUGAACCUCAGCCGUAAUUCCUCAGCCCUGUGGAUUUUGCCGAGCAAGUUUCUGCUGAUGCACAAUCAAGACGAACGGCGAUGAGAAGCUGGAGAAAGGUGUGAGGCUUUGGAAGAGGGUCUGAUAAAUAUGCCCCAGAAUUCCCUGUUUUCCAUUAUUAUUCCCCAGAAUUCCUCCCGCGGAUGAUGCAUCCAUGUCACGUAGCUAUACUUCUGUUAGGUGUCACAUGUGAUGGGUGCUACCACCAUGUUCAGAACCACAGUGUCUACAGCUGUAAGCCCACUUAUGUCCGGAGAUGUGUGUGUUCAGAACCACAGGCUUAACGUGAGGUGCCGUGCACACUGGUGUACAUCACAGGUUACUUGUUUUCACGUGGGAAUUAUUACCAGGAGGUGUUGGGGGGAAAAAUUCAUUUAAGUGCACAGAUUGUGUCUGUGAAAGUAAUAGGAUGUGAACCACGAG